GGGGGGAGGGGGUGGUCCCUCAGCCAAGAUUGUGAGAGGGCACAGGCUAGGCCAAGGGACCCCACUGGUGCAUG
RNAcentral lists this microRNA precursor (74 nucleotides) under Myotis lucifugus (little brown bat). RNAcentral describes it as "mir-9193 microRNA precursor family". It matches the Rfam family "mir-9193 microRNA precursor family". Lineage: Eukaryota; Metazoa; Chordata; Mammalia; Chiroptera; Vespertilionidae. The record is from Rfam by way of RNAcentral.